UACUUCUUUAGAACAGGCUGAGCAUGUGAAAGACAUCAAAUUCUCAAGCACAGGUCAGAUGCUUGGAAAAAUGCAUUUCUGGGAAUUUGAGGCCAGAAGAUUUAGUGGCAUUAGAAAGCUUAAGUAUGUAGAGUGGGAAUACUUACAACCCUUUUAUCAAAGAUAAAAAUGUCCAAAAGCAAUUUAUCUCAUCUUCCAGGGCCUUUCCAAGUAGUCCUGUCUUUGUAGUCAUUCACUGGGAUUCAGGGGGAGAGGACUGGAAGGAGAUACUGCUAAAUAAUGUAUGUUAAAUUCCAAAGAAAUUCAUUAGUGAGGUGGUGGAGUAUUUUGGGGGGAUUCAGCCACCCACCCCCUGAAGUUCUGCAGUGCUGUAAGGCUGGUUUGCACUCUGAGCAGUUGGUACCAGGCCUCCUCUCAGGUCUGUACAGGGCUGGUAUUAAUUUGUUGCUUUUUCCACAUUAUAUAUUUUAUUAUAUGUAGCAGUAGAAGUAUUGGAAGGUGGAGUUUUGUAGAUUCGGUUUCCCAGUGACGAAGCCAGUAAAACCAGCUUUGUAAGGAUACGUCUGCUCAGAGGGAUUAGAUUUCCAUGCUGAAAUAUUUUGAUUAAACAAUGCAACUGCACAACCAGCUGUGGCAGGCUGCACGCUUGCUUUUGGCCUGUGUGCUCAGGCAAGUCUUGGUGAGAACCUGGGGUGCUUUGAGACACAAAAGAAGCAAGGCUGACAUUUUCUGGGGAUCAAUGCAUCCUACAGAUUUUGGUCACAGGUAGAGGUGGAGAUGAUGAUGAAGGGCUGUGAGGGCUGGAUUUCAGGAUACCAGGUUAACUCAGAAAGUUAACUCAGAAUUUAUUUAGAACUUUCUGUGGUAUGGCUGGAAAAAUAAACACAUAACUUAAUGACUCGUUGUUUUUACAGUUGUAAUUUUGAUCCUUCUCUACUGCUAGUAAACUUUCAAAGCAAAAAUGCCGACCCUUUGCCUUAGCAUCUCGUUACUUUUCUGGUCUUGACAUAACCUCAUGUUCCUUGUGCUAAUCUCCGUGUCCUCUAGAGGGAGAAGUAAGUUCGUGCUCAGACUGUUGGAAAGUGCCAAAGCUCCUUUAAUAUGUCAAAAGUGCUAAUUAUGUUUCAAUCAUCUACAUAACUUUAAAUUUUGAUGGAGUUGUACAUGCACCUAGAUGUUAUUUGGGGGUUUUAUCCUCCUGAAUUUGUAGUUCUUGGACAAAGUUUUAUAUCUUGAGGACAUAGGGGCAUAAUUUGUUCUGGGCCAGGCCAGCCUGCAACAAUGAUAUUGAUGCUGGGUUUAGGAAGAGGUUCUAGAUGGCAAACACUAAGGAGAAUUCCUUCCCCCUGUACAAAUGAUGAAGGCUCGUGGUAAGAAUCUAAAAAAUAUCAGGGAUGUAAUUCUUCAGCUGCCCAAAUUCACAGGCAUAAACAUCCAUCUUUUGUGUAAUGCAAUAGGUAGCAAUCAUUUUGCCACAAUCACUAGCCCUAAACACAGUUUGAGUUAUUGACAGAUGCUGGUUUGGUUUUUUUCCCUUCCCCACCUCCCCUCCAUAGCUGUUUAUUUUCUAAGGACUGACAUAAGAACAAACUUGGUCUUUCUUCCUGACAUGCAACAACCUGCCUCCACCUUUGCAGCCUGCCUGGAAUUGCAGGCUCUCCUAAGCAGAGUGUGAAUGUUAGACCUAGCCUGCAGCACUAGGUUUAAGGCUAUCUCUCUGAUCUAGCCCCGAGAUCCAUGUCUGCAGCAAAGGCCACAAGGCUGGGCCUUGCAGUUGGCAGAGACUGCUUGGGGGUUUGGGGUGUUGUUUCCUUUUUUCCUCUCUUUUCUUGCUCCCCCAAGCCAGCAGGCUGUGGUUGCAGCAGGCUGCUGCAGAACAGGAUGAAGGAUGGCCAGUGACCCUUCUUCUGCAUUAGGGCUGGGUUAAGGGCUGGCAUGAAGGCUGGUGAUGGGGACAUGAGGACAGGAAGCCUAAUUAAUAGUUAUCUACAAGAGGUUCACAGCAUUUACUUGGCAUUCCUGCUCUUGAGCAUCCUUUUCAUCCCUUUGCCUAAUCUGAGCCUCAACCCCUGAAGCUGAACAUGAGCCCUGUGCUCUGUGCUGUCACUUCCCUCCCACACUCAGCCAGGGCUGAUUCUCUGUGGCUGACUGCAGCCCCCUACCCCUACCCAUCUGGUUUUUUAGUGCCUCCAGCCCUGAGUGUUAACCCCAGUUCCAACUGUAGCCUUGCCCUGAAACUGGAAAGUCCAGUGUUCCCCAGACAUCCUUCUGGGAGGUAUGAUCAGCACCAGCUGGCACCUAAACAAGAAAGAUACAAAGCUGGUUCUGCAGCCCCUUCACCCCAUAAUCUACACCCAUGAUCAGAUGGAGCCAGCAGCUUGCCAAGCUGGAAAUGUCUGGAAUCAGCCUACUUUGGUGGUACUUCCAGGAUCCAUUGUUUAUUCUUCUUUGUCUUUAGCGCUGGCUGUGGGUUGCCUGAAAGAUGGAUGAGACUCAGGAUGGGCAGCUCUGUGAAGUCUGAAUGGAUGUUUGGUGCUGAACUCUGAGCAGGGAGAUAUUGCAGGUUUGCCACCAGUGCUUUGGUUAGGGAUGUGGACAGCAAGUCUGAAAAGGUGUAGUAUCUUUCUGGAUUCUUCACUGUGCACACUGGUGUUUUUAUGGUACAUAAAUUAAGGUUGCCAUAUUCAUAAGGUUGCUGUUGACCUAUAAAGAAUCAAAGCAGGCUGAAGGCAAGGUUUGGACAGGGAGGGCUGGGUAAGCAGACCUCUCACUAGAUCUAGUAAGGAUUGAGGGCUCAGGUGAGGCUUGAGGUGUAGAGUUGUUUGGGGUAAGGUUUGCUCUGAGGGGGUAAGAGGACCAGUUUUGGUCUGCAUGCCAGGGUUUGCAUUUGGGAUGCACAGAGAGCUGAGAGUUGGCAGGAUGAGAUGAAGGCUGAUACUGACUAGAACUGGAGAGCAGAGGGUUUGCUGAUUGUUGCUUUUUCAAAGAAAAAGUCUAAUUUAUGUGCUUGACAUAAGAUGUCGCUUCUAAUGCUUUUGCUUCUGGAUAGAAAAGAAACUUAAGGAAUUGUUUGUUCUCUCUCCUUGCCAGGUUUCUCAUUUUGUGCUCCUCAGUCAGGCAUGAGCUUGUAGAGUGUGAAGUGGACACUUGUUGCAGAGCACUAUGUCUCUCUGGGCUAUGAAGAGGCCUUUAUGUGGACUUGAGAGCUACCACUGUGCACCUCAGGUGUGACAGAUACCUGGACCCUGGAGGAAAUGUGAACCAGGAACACUCUCAUCACUUUUUUCAUGUGGGAAACAAGCAGCAAUGCCCACAGAUGCUACUACAAAGUGAUUUCAACUUCAAUAAAUAGAAAUGAGAUGUUGACUUUCUGCGACCAGCCAGGCCCUUUUAUAGGAAGCCCAUCAAUUACACUAAGUGCCGUGUGGCUGCCUAUGGGUUGUGCUGUGCAGAAUUAAAGGAUUACAAUUUGUGUGGGAUUAGCAACCUGAGGUUUUUUCAGUUGGUCAGACCAAGGUUUUGGGAUCACUCCCUGUAUCGACCAUUCACUUCAGGGUUUGACCCAAUGAUCCUUGUGGGUCCCUUCCAACUCAGAAUAUUCUGUGACCUGGAAAUAAAUAAACUAUUUCAACAAUG
This is a non-coding RNA of Zonotrichia albicollis (white-throated sparrow), 3636 nucleotides long. The record is from RefSeq and is a predicted model, not a curated record. NCBI's taxonomy places the organism in Eukaryota, Metazoa, Chordata, Aves, Passeriformes, Passerellidae.